This 201-nucleotide long non-coding RNA is filed under the name Malus domestica (apple). RNAcentral's name for it is "long non-coding RNA (MDOM_LNC017115)". Lineage: Eukaryota; Viridiplantae; Streptophyta; Magnoliopsida; Rosales; Rosaceae. The record is from RNAcentral.
UAGAUUUGAUCCAAGGAAAGAUAACACUUUAGAACAGUUUCCUUGAAAAAUAUCAAGGAAAGAAGCGUCAAAAGAUAAUGGAUUUCUCCAUUAGGAGAAGAACGAACUUGAAUAAGAUUUAGUUCAUUGGAUGUUAUCAAUUACCCAUAUAUAGGAUAUAUGCUUCUAAGACAAUAUGAUUGUCAAUUAGAAGAUCUUCCA